GGGUUGUGAGGUUAAGCGACUAAGCGUACACGGUGGAUGCCCUGGCAGUCAGAGGCGAUGAAGGACGUGCUAAUCUGCGAAAAGCGUCGGUAAGGUGAUAUGAACCGUUACAGCCGGCGAUGUCCGAAUGGGGAAACCCAGUGCAAUUCGUUGCACUAUCGUUAACUGAAUACAUAGGUUAACGAGGCGAACCGGGGGAACUGAAACAUCUAAGUACCCCGAGGAAAAGAAAUCAACCGAGAUUCCCCCAGUAGCGGCGAGCGAACGGGGAGCAGCCCAGAGUCUGAAUCAGCUUGUGUGUUAGUGGAACGGUCUGGAAAGUCCGACGGUACAGGGUGAUAGUCCCGUACACCAAAAUGCACAGGCUGUGAACUCGAAGAGUAGGGCGGGACACGUGGUAUCCUGUCUGAAUAUGGGGGGACCAUCCUCCAAGGCUAAAUACUCCUGACUGACCGAUAGUGAACCAGUACCGUGAGGGAAAGGCGAAAAGAACCCCGGCGAGGGGAGUGAAAAAGAACCUGAAACCGUGUACGUACAAGCAGUGGGAGCACCCUUUAGGGUGUGACUGCGUACCUUUUGUAUAAUGGGUCAGCGACUUAUAUUCUGUAGCAAGGUUAACCGUAUAGGGGAGCCGCAGGGAAACCGAGUCUUAACUGGGCGUUAAGUUGCAGGGUAUAGACCCGAAACCCGGUGAUCUAGCCAUGGGCAGGUUGAAGGUUGGGUAACACUAACUGGAGGACCGAACCGACUAAUGUUGAAAAAUUAGCGGAUGACUUGUGGCUGGGGGUGAAAGGCCAAUCAAACCGGGAGAUAGCUGGUUCUCCCCGAAAGCUAUUUAGGUAGCGCCUCGUGAAUUCAUCUUCGGGGGUAGAGCACUGUUUCGGCUAGGGGGUCAUCCCGACUUACCAACCCGAUGCAAACUACGAAUACCGAAGAAUGUUAUCACGGGAGACACACGGCGGGUGCUAACGUCCGUCGUGAAGAGGGAAACAACCCAGACCGCCAGCUAAGGUCCCAAAGUCAUGGUUAAGUGGGAAACGAUGUGGGAAGGCACAGACAGCCAGGAUGUUGGCUUAGAAGCAGCCAUCAUUUAAAGAAAGCGUAAUAGCUCACUGGUCGAGUCGGCCUGCGCGGAAGAUGUAACGGGGCUAAACCAUGCACCGAAGCUGCGGCAGCGACACUAUGUGUUGUUGGGUAGGGGAGCGUUCUGUAAGCCUGCGAAGGUGGCCUGUGAGGGCUGCUGGAGGUAUCAGAAGUGCGAAUGCUGACAUAAGUAACGAUAAAGCGGGUGAAAAGCCCGCUCGCCGGAAGACCAAGGGUUCCUGUCCAACGUUAAUCGGGGCAGGGUGAGUCGACCCCUAAGGCGAGGCCGAAAGGCGUAGUCGAUGGGAAACAGGUUAAUAUUCCUGUACUUGGUGUUACUGCGAAGGGGGGACGGAGAAGGCUAUGUUAGCCGGGCGACGGUUGUCCCGGUUUAAGCAUGUAGGCGGAGGUUCCAGGUAAAUCCGGUACCUUUUAACGCUGAGAUGUGAUGACGAGGCACUACGGUGCUGAAGUAACAAAUGCCCUGCUUCCAGGAAAAGCCUCUAAGCAUCAGGUAACAUCAAAUCGUACCCCAAACCGACACAGGUGGUCAGGUAGAGAAUACCAAGGCGCUUGAGAGAACUCGGGUGAAGGAACUAGGCAAAAUGGUGCCGUAACUUCGGGAGAAGGCACGCUGGUGUGUAGGUGAAGUCCCUGCGGAUGGAGCUGAGACCAGUCGAAGAUACCAGCUGGCUGCAACUGUUUAUUAAAAACACAGCACUGUGCAAACACGAAAGUGGACGUAUACGGUGUGACGCCUGCCCGGUGCCGGAAGGUUAAUUGAUGGGGUUAUCCGUAAGGAGAAGCUCUUGAUCGAAGCCCCGGUAAACGGCGGCCGUAACUAUAACGGUCCUAAGGUAGCGAAAUUCCUUGUCGGGUAAGUUCCGACCUGCACGAAUGGCGUAAUGAUGGCCAGGCUGUCUCCACCCGAGACUCAGUGAAAUUGAACUCGCUGUGAAGAUGCAGUGUACCCGCGGCAAGACGGAAAGACCCCGUGAACCUUUACUAUAGCUUGACACUGAACAUUGAGCCUUGAUGUGUAG
Molecule: ribosomal RNA, 2126 nt
Filed under: Klebsiella variicola
Lineage: Bacteria; Pseudomonadati; Pseudomonadota; Gammaproteobacteria; Enterobacterales; Enterobacteriaceae
Description: bacterial LSU rRNA
Rfam family: Bacterial large subunit ribosomal RNA
Source: RNAcentral